This 597-nucleotide ribosomal RNA is filed under the name uncultured delta proteobacterium. RNAcentral's name for it is "bacterial SSU rRNA". It matches the Rfam family "Bacterial small subunit ribosomal RNA", at positions 35 to 605 of the family's 1533-position model. The record is from RNAcentral. Lineage: Bacteria; Deltaproteobacteria.
GCUGGCGGCGUGCUUAACACAUGCAAGUCGUACGAGAACUCUUCUGCUUGCAGAAGAUAGUAAAGUGGCGCACGGGUGAGUAACGCGUGGGUAAUCUACCUCCGACUCGGGGAUAACAUUGCGAAAGCGAUGCUAAUACCGGAUAAUAUCAAGAAUGCUUCGGUAUUCUUGAUCAAAGGUGGCCUCUACAUGUAAGCUUUUGAUUGGAGAUGAGCCCGCGUACCAUUAGCUAGUGGGUGGGGUAAUGGCCUACCAAGGCUGCGAUGGUUAGCUGGUCUGAGAGGAUGAUCAGCCACACUGGAACUGACACACGGUCCAGACUCCUACGGGAGGCAGCAGUGAGGAAUUUUGCGCAAUGGGGGAAACCCUGACGCAGCAACGCCGCGUGAGUGAUGAAGGCUUUCGGGUCGUAAAGCUCUGUCGAGUGGGAAGAAAAACCAGACACCAAUAAUGUCUGGGACUGACGGUACCACUGAAGGAAGCACCGGCUAACUCCGUGCCAGCAGCCGCGGUAAUACGGGGGGUGCAAGCGUUAUUCGGAAUCAUUGGGCGUAAAGAGCGCGUAGGCGGCCCUAUAAGUCAGAUGUGAAAGCCCGG